Molecule: ribosomal RNA, 400 nt
Filed under: uncultured bacterium
Lineage: Bacteria
Description: bacterial SSU rRNA
Rfam family: Bacterial small subunit ribosomal RNA
Source: RNAcentral
UUGUUAGUGGCAGACGGGUGAGUAACACGUAGGAAUCUGCCUUACAGUAAGGAAUAACAACUGGAAACGGUUGCUAAUACCAUAUACGCUCGAGAGAGGAAAGAUUUAUCGCUGUAAGAUGAGCCUGCGCUAGAUUAGGUAGUUGGUAGGGUAAUGGCCUACCAAGCCUACGAUCUAUAGCUGGUCUGAGAGGAUGAUCAGCCACACUGGGACUGAGACACGGCCCAGACUCCUACGGGAGGCAGCAGUGGGGAAUAUUGGACAAUGGGCGCAAGCCUGAUCCAGCAAUGCCGCGUGAAUGAUGAAGGCCUUAGGGUUGUAAAGUUCUUUUAGUGGGGAAGAAAAUGACGGUACCCACAGAAAAAGCUCCGGCUAACUCCGUGCCAGCAGCCGCGGUAAU